Macrosteles quadrilineatus (aster leafhopper) is the source of this 622-nucleotide long non-coding RNA. RefSeq lists it as uncharacterized. The transcript is spliced from 2 exons. NCBI's taxonomy places the organism in Eukaryota, Metazoa, Arthropoda, Insecta, Hemiptera, Cicadellidae. The record is from RefSeq and is a predicted model, not a curated record.
GUCAGGUGUGAUGUUAUCAUCACAUUGCUCUCCAGUGAAACUUCUAUUGACUUGUAGAGAUUAAUGAUAAAGUGGCAUGAUAACAGAAUUCGAAGAUAAGUAGUGUCUACAAAUCUGAAACUGUUUGUGUACAAUGGCUCAGGGAAGGAUGAAUAUUAAUCAUAACUCCGUUGAGAGGGCUUCUGUGUCGGGGUCUAAGGUGCCUAGGCCGCGCCUGAUCAUGGGUCACCCUCACCUAUUUGGGGUCUUCGUCGUAGGGUUCUUCCUCUGGGCAGCUGUCUUCUUUCCUCUUAAAAUGUACAAUGUUAUAAAUUAAUUACUUUUAUCUGCGUAAUAUUACAAUGUCUGAAAAUAAGAUUACACGAGAAUUUUAAAAUCAAUGUAAAGCAAAUAAAAAAUAUUUUAUUAUAAAGACAAAGUACUAAAAAGGACAACAAAAAACAUGGGUGGAGUUAUGGAGAACAGUUGACAAAUUAUAUGUUUUCGCCUAAUUUUUAGAAGAGUAUUUGCUCAAAAAUAAAAUUGAAAUUCUACUUCAAAAUAUAAACUUUAGUUGAACUUUGUAUUCAUGAAGUACCGGUAAUGUGUAUAUGAUGUUAAAUAUAUUUCAUAUGCUUGUUAA